AGUUACAUAGCUGAAAAGAGACUUGCGUCCAUCAAGUUUUGGAUCAGCAGCAAAAACAUGAACUUGAUGGACGCAAGUCUCUUUUCAGCUAUGUAACUAUGUAAUCC
Non-coding RNA from Pelobates cultripes (western spadefoot toad), 107 nucleotides. The record is from the annotation of a GenBank genome assembly. Lineage: Eukaryota; Metazoa; Chordata; Amphibia; Anura; Pelobatidae.